This 76-nucleotide transfer RNA is filed under the name Clostridiales bacterium. Its description in RNAcentral is "tRNA-Ala". It matches the Rfam family "tRNA". From Rfam's summary of the family: Transfer RNA (tRNA) molecules are approximately 80 nucleotides in length. Their secondary structure includes four short double-helical elements and three loops (D, anti-codon, and T loops). Lineage: Bacteria; Bacillati; Bacillota; Clostridia; Eubacteriales. The record is from RNAcentral. RNAcentral also lists the same sequence under 2 other names.
GGGGCAUUAGCUCAGCUGGGAGAGCGCCAGGUUCGCAAUCUGGAGGUCGUGAGUUCGAUCCUCAUAUGCUCCACCA